GAGGGUAUAGUUCAAGUGGUAAGGCUCAUGCUUAGCAUGCAGGAGGUCCUGGGUUCAAUCCCCAGUACCUCCU
RNAcentral lists this transfer RNA (73 nucleotides) under Camelus bactrianus (Bactrian camel). It matches the Rfam family "tRNA". Rfam says of the family: Transfer RNA (tRNA) molecules are approximately 80 nucleotides in length. Their secondary structure includes four short double-helical elements and three loops (D, anti-codon, and T loops). Further hydrogen bonds mediate the characteristic L-shaped molecular structure. tRNAs have two regions of fundamental functional importance: the anti-codon, which is responsible for specific mRNA codon recognition, and the 3' end, to which the tRNAs corresponding amino acid is attached (by aminoacyl-tRNA synthetases). tRNAs cope with the degeneracy of the genetic code in two manners: having more than one tRNA (with a specific anti-codon) for a particular amino acid; and 'wobble' base-pairing, i.e. permitting non-standard base-pairing at the 3rd anti-codon position. The record is from Rfam by way of RNAcentral. Lineage: Eukaryota; Metazoa; Chordata; Mammalia; Artiodactyla; Camelidae. RNAcentral also lists the same sequence under 2 other names.